This 416-nucleotide long non-coding RNA is filed under the name Homo sapiens (human). RNAcentral describes it as "non-protein coding lnc-SERPINI1-21:1". The record is from RNAcentral. Lineage: Eukaryota; Metazoa; Chordata; Mammalia; Primates; Hominidae.
AGCCGGGCGUGGUGGUAGGCCCCUGUAAUCCUAGCUGCAGGCUAGGCUUCCCUCUAGGGGGACUGAGGCAGGAGAAUCACUUGAACCCAGGAGGUGGAGGUUGCAGUGAGCCUAGUUUGUGCUUCAUUUAGUGGAAAAAUCAGAUUCUGAGAAUCAGAGAUUUUGCCUCUACUAUAUUCUUGCUAUGCUGUCUUGAUCUCGUCUUUCUAGAGUUGCUCAGAGACUUGAAGUGCUCACCAAUAUCUGGUAUGAAGUUAUGAUUGUCUUUUUUCUACCCCAUUCCUUUAAUUCUCAUUUUACUUCUCCACUCCCCAAGAAUGAAUCUCUUCAAAAAUGAACUAAGAAUGGUUUAGCAACAAGCCUUACAAGGUAUAAUCUGUACAUUUAAAGGCUAUGUGGAUUUGAAUCUACUCCAA